GGACGCGGAUACAGACGCCUGAAGCCCCGGGGCUGCUUUUUCCGACUCGACGGCUCUGUGCCUCCGCGCAUCUCCCCCUCCCCACCUCCCACGGCCCACCUCCCCCUUCCUCCUUCCCCUCCCUCCUCCUCUCUCCCACCUCCCUAAAGAAGACCACAACUUGGGUUGAAUGCGGGGGAAAGGUGCGCCUUCCUCCCACCCUCCCCUACCUGCGUCGCGGGCCCUCCUGUCUCGGAGGCGUCCUCUGGAUUGUCGCCUCGGUGUAUCUAUCACCGGCCAAGGGAUUGGGGCCCAAACGGCGGUUCCACCAAAGCCCGAGAAGCCGGUUUCUUUUGCAGCGGUGUUCAACCUCGCUCUUUGGGCACAUCCACCAAGUCCAACUUGUGUUUUAGCUCAUUUCCUUCCAGCUAACGGGCACUUUCAUCUUCUGGCAAGGGAGCUGGGUUGUCUUGAGAUGCAAAGGGAAGGACCGGAAAGAAUAAUUUUGCCUGCACUGUUAGACCAGCACUGUGAGACCAGUAGAUGUCAGCAUAAGAACACAAUCCUCCUGAUUUCCGGUUCACCUAGAUGA
This 571-nucleotide long non-coding RNA is filed under the name Cervus hanglu yarkandensis (Yarkand deer). Its description in RNAcentral is "lncRNA (ENSCHYG00000026044.1)". Lineage: Eukaryota; Metazoa; Chordata; Mammalia; Artiodactyla; Cervidae. The record is from RNAcentral.